CGGAGUAACACAACACAUGCAGAGAACUAUUUUUUCAACUCUCGCUAUAUAACCAUAAGAAGUUCGUUGCUCACUCUCUUUUCCGUUUUUAUGCCGUUUGUUGGUGUCUGGAAGUCUCUGCUUGGUGUUGGCGUUUUGAGAAUGGUCUGGUCAAGAGCCACGUGCUUUGUACGGAGCUGCAGUAGGACCUUGAUGACCGCUUGUGAAGGCAUCGUGAUGGGUUUCAUACCUGCAGCGAGGUUGCAGCUUGACCCUCUACCCACUUGACAGGGGAUUUGCUGAAAUGGUGACUGCUAGUAACGUGCAUCGUUGUAAAGAGAUGGCAGCUUGAUCCCCAAGCUACCCACUUGACAGGGGAGUAGCCGAAUGGUGCCCAGCAGGAACAUGUCAUUGGUAAGGCUUCAUGUAUGAAACUGUGUGCUGUUUUGCACAACAGCACAGUAACCUGUGCACAGGUUGCUUGAAUGGCCAACAUAACAGCAUGUGUGUGGUACCACACGAUCCCAUCCUUUCUGUGAUGACAUUCUUAUUGGUCCGUGUUUCUGACAUGUGAUGUAUUCUUCCAAUAUACUGACGCAUUUACUAUUAAAUGCUAAUAGUGUUCAUAGGGUUCUGUUUUGACACUUGUUUUCUUCCUGCAGUGCCACUUUCACUUUCUGCUGGGUUUGUUCAGCAUCUCUGAAUUUGAGGAAUUGCUUCAUUUGGGCCACCUUGGUUGUGCACUUCAUCAGGUAGGCCUCAUCAGUAAUCUUUGCUAGUGACUAUCUUGAGGAUGACACAGGCUGGAGUCUCUGAACAAAGUUGAAGACAGCGGUUUUCUGAUGCAUGCUUAUGAAAACCAAAUGCUUCUACAGUAAGAAGCAGCAUUUUAGUUUUGUUGCCUUGUGUUCUUUUGUCUAUGCCUUUCUAUACUGGAGGACAUCUUGGAAGGUGUGUUGCAUGAUGAUUUUCAUGGCUAGAGUGCUGACAUUGAUGACAGCAAUUCACAUAACUGAUAGCAUCAGUAGUCUGCACUACAUAAAAUUAUUUGUGCCCACGCAUAAUUGCCAAUGUUGAUUUCCUUUCAGGUGGUCUUUCUUUAGUAAUGCUUUAUUUAGACAAUUCAUUGUCUGGGAUGAAGGGGCUAAAGGCAGAUGCAACUGCCUGACAAGGGCCCCCCUACCUGAAGAGUCCAGCAGUGCAGGUGUCAUCAGUGGCAUCAAAAGCAGGUGUGUUCUCCUUUUUAUCUUCAUGGCGAUUUUUAUUUGUGAUGAAACUUAAUUGACACCUCUUGUCCUAAUUGUUUUUGCUGGAAAUGUAUUUCUGAUCUGUUUAAAUAAUUGGUACUCCGGUGCAGUUGUUGCAAAAUAUUUACUCCUCCUUUCAUAUUGCAGGUGAGUCCGGGGAUGUGCUUCGAUAUUGACGUCAAUAAAAAGAAUUUUGCUUCACUGUGUUUCUUUUUUUUUCCACCCAUCUGUGGAGCCCAUAGUCGAGGUGGCCUGUUCCGUAAUGUUGUAAGGAGUCUCCAAUUAUAAAUUUCAUCGUAGUCGUGAAUAGGCUUUGAGCCGGUAUACGCAUGCCGCAAUA
Molecule: long non-coding RNA, 1566 nt
Organism: Dermacentor silvarum
Lineage: Eukaryota; Metazoa; Arthropoda; Arachnida; Ixodida; Ixodidae
Exons: 9
Source: RefSeq, a predicted model, not a curated record